ACCGGGGACUGCGGCUUUCAGU
Molecule: microRNA, 22 nt
Filed under: Mus musculus (house mouse)
Lineage: Eukaryota; Metazoa; Chordata; Mammalia; Rodentia; Muridae
Description: mmu-miR-7059-5p
Source: miRBase by way of RNAcentral